Molecule: long non-coding RNA, 279 nt
Organism: Oncorhynchus tshawytscha (Chinook salmon)
Lineage: Eukaryota; Metazoa; Chordata; Actinopteri; Salmoniformes; Salmonidae
Source: Ensembl
UGUGUGUGUGUGUGUGUGUGUGUGUGUGUGUGUGUGUGUGUGUGUGUAGGUAUCUAUAUGUGUGUGUGUGUGUGUGUAUCUAUGUGUGUGUGUGUGUGUGUAUGUGAGUGUGUAGGUAUCUAUGUGUGUGUGUGUGUGUGUGUGUGUGUGUGUGUGUGUGUGUGUGUGUGUGUGUGUGUGUGUGUGUGUGUGUGUGUAUGUAUGUAUCUAUGUGUGUGUUUCUAGGGCAGGGUGAUUUGUGUUGUCUGGGCGUUGUCCAGGGGAUAAACUUGGCAGACA